AAAAGAUUCAUCGCCCUUCCUGACUCUGCUUCACCGCAGUGUUUGAGAGCAGUGGUGGGGGGCAGCGAGGGGAAAAGGAAGACAUUAAUACACAACGAGAAGCUGAAACCAAAAGGCCAGCCCGUGCUGCAUGUUCCCACUUCUCGGCAACUGAAAGCAAAAAUAAAAAGUAUCUAUUCAUAGAGCCAACAGUGAAGAUGUUCAGAGCUAAUCCAUGACCUCUUCAAAAUCUUUAGUGGAGAUGCAGCACAAGAGGGCACAAGAAUUAAUUACAUUAAGAAGUUUUGACAGACCUUCUGCAAAAUUAAAACUGGUGAUUUCCAAGACUUUUUUACUCCCUGGACAUAUGCUAGUUUUUUCUUCUGGAUAAUUCCUUGACAAAAAGAAGGCCCUUCUGAGUAUAAUUUAAUAUCCGCAAAUUACCAUGGUGAGUGAGAAAAAAGUAAUGCCCACUACUCAAGUGGAUGCAGAGGAGAAGAAGGAGGGAGUAUGUGUCUGCCCCAUGGUGAUAAUGGAUUCUGCCCAAGAUGAGAUCUGCUGCUGCUUGUUGUGGAGAACCAUCUUCCCUGUGAAUCUGGAAGCAGUCUCUGAUUGCACAGAGCCACUAUGUAUUCCAUCCUCAUGCUUCCCUGGAGUAUAA
Junco hyemalis (dark-eyed junco) is the source of this 640-nucleotide long non-coding RNA. The record is from Ensembl. Lineage: Eukaryota; Metazoa; Chordata; Aves; Passeriformes; Passerellidae.